RNAcentral lists this ribosomal RNA (789 nucleotides) under uncultured bacterium. RNAcentral describes it as "bacterial SSU rRNA". It matches the Rfam family "Bacterial small subunit ribosomal RNA", at positions 9 to 800 of the family's 1533-position model. The record is from RNAcentral.
AGGGGGGGUUUGAAUCCUGGCUCAGGACGAACGUUGGCGGUGCGCUUAAUGCAUGCAAGUCGAGGGAGAACCAUUCGGUCCGUAAGGACGGGAUGGGGAAACCGGCGAACGGGUGCGUAACACGUGAGGAACCUGCCCCGAAGACCGGGAUAGCCCGGGGAAACCCGGAUUAAUACCGGAUACCCUUUCCGACCCGCAUGGGUCGGAAAAGAAAUGGUCCGCCGCUUCGGGAUGGCCUCGCGGCCUAUCAGCUAGUUGGUGAGGUAACGGCUCACCAAGACAGAGACGGGUAGCUGGUCUGAGAGGACGAUCAGCCACACUGGGACUGAGACACGGCCCAGACUCCUACGGGAGGCAGCAGCAGGGAAUAUUGCACAAUGGGCGAAAGCCUGAUGCAGCGACACCGCGUGCGGGAUGAAGGCCUUCGGGUUGUAAACCGCUUUCAGGAGGGACGAAAAUGACGGUACCUCCAGAAGAAGGCCCGGCCAACUACGUGCCAGCAGCCGCGGUAACACGUAGGGGCCGAACGUUGUCCGGAUUUAUUGGGCGUAAAGGGCUCGUAGGCGGUUCGACAAGUCGGCCGUGAAAACCCGGGGCUCAACCCCGGGACGCCGGUCGAAACUGUCGUGACUAGGGUCCGGUAGAGGUGAGUGGAAUUCUCGGUGUAGCGGUGAAAUGCGCAGAUAUCGAGAGGAACACCAGUAGCGAAGGCGGCUCACUGGGCCGGUACCGACGCUGAGGAGCGAAAGCGUGGGGAGCAACAGGAUUAGAUACCCUGGUAGUCCACGC